UCCGUGAAAUGCUGAAUACAACAGGUGUAGUAGACCUUACCGUGAAAUGCUGAAUACAACAGGUGUAGUAGACCUUACAGUGAAAUGCUGAAUACAACAGGUGUAGUAGACCUUACCGUGAAAUGCUGAAUACAACAGGUGUAGUAGACCUUACUGUGAAAUGCUGAAUACAACAGGUGUAGUAGACCUUACAGUGAAAUGCUGAAUACAACAGGUGUAGUAGACCUUACAGUGAAAUGCUGAAUACAACAGGUGUAGUAGACCUUACCGUGAAAUGCUGAAUACAACAGGUGUAGUAGACCUUACCGUGAAAUGCUGAAUACAACAGGUGUAGUAGACCUUACCGUGAAAUGCUGAAUACAACAGGUGUAGUAGACCUUACCGUGAAAUGCUGAAUACAACAGGUGUAGUAGACCUUACCGUGAAAUGCUGAAUACAACAGGUGUAGUAGACCUUACCGUGAAAUGCUGAAUACAACAGGUGUAGUAGACCUUACCGUGAAAUGCUGAAUACAACAGGUGUAGUAGACCUUACCGUGAAAUGCUGAAUACAACAGGUGUAGUAGACCUUACCGUGAAAUGCUGAAUACAACAGGUGUAGUAGAC
Oncorhynchus keta (chum salmon) is the source of this 605-nucleotide long non-coding RNA. RefSeq lists it as uncharacterized. NCBI's taxonomy places the organism in Eukaryota, Metazoa, Chordata, Actinopteri, Salmoniformes, Salmonidae. The transcript is spliced from 5 exons. The record is from RefSeq and is a predicted model, not a curated record.